UUUGUCACUAGAUGGCGGCAGCAGCUAGAGUGCGAUAGUACGUGUAUAAUAAUCGUCCACACACAGCAAUGGAGUCCAGUAUAGAACACAUGGCUCGGUAUGUGAGCCCAGUGAAUCCAGCAAUCUACCCGCACCUGACAGUCGUACUCCUAGGCAUCGGAAUCUUCUUCAUGGCAUGGUUUUUCGUAUAUGAAGUAACGUCAACAAAAUUCACACGUGACAUUUUCAAGGAGUUGCUAGUGUCCCUAUUUGCUGCUAUCUUCAUGGGUGUUGGAAUCCUUUUCCUGCUCUUGUGGGUUGGCAUCUAUGUCUGAUGUUUUUUCUGUGAGGUUAUUGAGGAGGAUAACAAAGUUUAUAAAGUGACCUGCAGGUGACGGGCUCUGUCGGCAGAAGGAGUAUUCAUCGCAUUCCAUUGGGUAUCUUUGUUCUAUCUGUCACCAAGGAUUCUAUCAUCAUGCCACGCCAGAUUCUCUGACUGCUGCUGUAAGGGUGGCACUUACAGUGCCAUUUUCACAAUGCAUUUCAUCGACGAUGGGUGUAAGAGUUGCCCGUGCAUCAACAAAGCUUGCUGUACGGUGUGUAUUUUGUUUCAAAAUGCAUUAACAAAAUUUCCCCUGAUACAUGAUCUAACAUGGAUGCAAACCAUGCCUCGUCGAAAAUUCGCAGUCUUGAUGUGUAUUUAAUCAACUCGCAUGAAUCAAUAAUUUAUUGCCAUGUGCGAAUACAACUCCAGUGGUAAACUCUGAAUUCUCAUCUGUCGAUCAGUUAUUUAAUGAAAAGAUGGAAACUUUUUGAAGCGAUUUGUGUGAGAAUUGGUACAUAGUACAACAUGAGUAUCCAGCAUGCCUAAAGGAUAUGCCCGUUCUUGCUCUUCUUUGUAUGAUUGAAUAUGUAUGUGUGAGUUUCUCUACUAUAUUGUGUGACGAAGAAUAAAUUCUAAAAGCCUGAAAAAUUAUGUGUACAUUUUUAGAAAUCAAAUUUUCGUCUUGCUUGUUUUUUUUUACCCUAAACAUGUAUGUUUUGCUAUCUAUUAAAAUAUUUUGUUGAAUGA
This is a long non-coding RNA of Priapulus caudatus, 1051 nucleotides long. RefSeq lists it as uncharacterized. The record is from RefSeq and is a predicted model, not a curated record. NCBI's taxonomy places the organism in Eukaryota, Metazoa, Priapulida, Priapulimorpha, Priapulimorphida, Priapulidae. The transcript has 4 exons.